RNAcentral lists this ribosomal RNA (663 nucleotides) under uncultured cyanobacterium. RNAcentral's name for it is "bacterial SSU rRNA". It matches the Rfam family "Bacterial small subunit ribosomal RNA", at positions 99 to 795 of the family's 1533-position model. Lineage: Bacteria; Bacillati; Cyanobacteriota. The record is from RNAcentral.
CGGACGGGUGAGUAACGCGUGAGAAUCUGCCUUCAGGUCUGGGACAACCACUGGAAACGGUGGCUAAUACCGGAUGUGCCGCAAGGUGAAAGGUUAACUGCCUGAAGAUGAGCUCGCGUCUGAUUAGCUAGUUGGCAGUGUAAGAGACUACCAAGGCGACGAUCAGUAGCUGGUCUGAGAGGACGAUCAGCCACACUGGGACUGAGACACGGCCCAGACUCCUACGGGAGGCAGCAGUGGGGAAUUUUCCGCAAUGGGCGAAAGCCUGACGGAGCAAUACCGCGUGAGGGAGGAAGGCUCUUGGGUCGUAAACCUCUUUUCUCAGGGAAGAACACAAUGACGGUACCUGAGGAAUAAGCAUCGGCUAACUCCGUGCCAGCAGCCGCGGUAAUACGGAGGAUGCAAGCGUUAUCCGGAAUGAUUGGGCGUAAAGCGUCCGCAGGUGGCGAUGUAAGUCUGCUGUUAAAGCGUCUAGCUCAACUAGAUAAAAGCAGUGGAAACUACAUAGCUAGAGUACGUUCGGGGCAGAGGGAAUUCCUGGUGUAGCGGUGAAGUGCGUAGAGAUCAGGAAGAACACCGGUGGCGAAGGCGCUCUGCUAGGCCGUAACUGACACUGAGAGACGAAAGCUAGGGGAGCGAAUGGGAUUAGAUACCCCAGUAGUC